AGAGAGGGAACACAAGCAGGGGGAGUGGGAGAGGGAGAAGCAGGCUCCCCGCAGAGCAGGGAGCCCGAUGCGAGACUCGAUCCAAGGACCCUGGGAUCAUGACCUGAGCUGAAGGCAGUCGCUUAACCAACUGAGCCACCCAGGCGCCCCCACCUUAAGCAUUCUUAAGGGUAGCGUUGAGUGGUGGUAUCAGCACCUGUUUACAGUGCCGGACACAGAGUAGGCCCUCUAUUUCACUGAGUGAAUGAAUGGUCUCUGGAGAGAGGUCUGGAAUCUCUUGGCAUGUUUUCCUUGCAUCUGUCCUCAUUCUCCCUAGAAUCUCAGCACAAAGAGACAUCUCAAAGUUCAAGCCCCUGUCUCUGAUGCUUGAAUUCCCUCCAAGACUGGGGACUACUUGGUAACACAACUGUCUUUGGCUCAGAGCCCCAGUUUUGAUGAUAAAAGAGCAAAGAAUGGAAAGUGUUAUAUGAUACACAAAAUAAUACGGUAUGCGGGUCGGGUCUCGAAGUCUGCAUUGCUAACAAAGUCUCCGAGGGUGCCUCUUCUAGAUUACACUGUGAAUAUUAAAGAAAGUGGAUUCUGCAACCAGACUUGCUGGGUUCAAAUUACACACAGUUACCGCUGAUGAGCUGCGAUCUUCAGUAAACUAGUCUCUUCGUGCCUCAGUUUUCUUAUCUAUAAA
Molecule: long non-coding RNA, 682 nt
Organism: Mirounga angustirostris (Northern elephant seal)
Lineage: Eukaryota; Metazoa; Chordata; Mammalia; Carnivora; Phocidae
Exons: 3
Source: RefSeq, a predicted model, not a curated record